UGGCAGACUAGAGUACUGUAGAGGGGGGUAGAAUUUCAGGUGUAGCGGUGAAAUGCGUAGAGAUCUGAAGGAAUACCGGUGGCGAAGGCGGCCCCCUGGACAGAUACUGACACUCAGAUGCGAAAGCGUGGGGAGCAAACAGGAUUAGAUACCCUGGUAGUCCACGCCGUAAACGAUGUCUACUUGGAGGUUGUGGCCUUGAGCCGUGGCUUUCGGAGCUAACGCGUUAAGUAGACCGCCUGGGGAGUACGGUCGCAAGAUUAAAACUCAAAUGAAUUGACGGGGGCCCGCACAAGCGGUGGAGCAUGUGGUUUAAUUCGAUGCAACGCGAAGAACCUUACCUACUCUUGACAUCCAGAGAACUUUCCAGAGAUGGAUUGGUGCCUUCGGGAACUCUGAGACAGGUGCUGCAUGGCUGUCGUCAGCUCGUGUUGUGAAAUGUUGGGUUAAGUCCCGCAACGAGCGCAACCCUUAUCCUUGUUUGCCAGCGAGUAAUGUCGGGAACUCCAGGGAGACUGCCGGUGAUAAACCGGAGGAAGGUGGGGACGACGCCAAGUCAUCAUGGCCCUUACGAGUAGGGCUACACACGUGCUACAAUGGCGCAUACAGAGGGCGGCCAACUUGCGAAAGUGAGCGAAUCCCAAAAAGUGCGUCGUAGUCCGGAUUGGAGUCUGCAACUCGACUCCAUGAAGUCGGAAUCGCUAGUAAUCGUGGAUCAGAAUGCCACGGUGAAUACGUUCCCGGGCCUUGUACACACCGCCCGUCACACCAUGGGAGUGGGCUGCAAAAGAAGUAGGUAGUUUAACCUUCGGGGGGACGCUUACCACUUUGUGGUUCAUGACUGGGGUGAAGUCGUAACAAGGUACCAAUCUCUAGAG
This 878-nucleotide ribosomal RNA is filed under the name uncultured bacterium. Its description in RNAcentral is "bacterial SSU rRNA". It matches the Rfam family "Bacterial small subunit ribosomal RNA", at positions 634 to 1511 of the family's 1533-position model. The record is from RNAcentral.